CUGCUCGUUUCACAGGAGUUAGGCUAAAAUGGGGACUUUGUAGAGAACAGUCACACAUGGCCACUGUGCAAAUAUGAUAUGCAUAUUUGAGAAAUGUUCUGUAUAUUU
RNAcentral lists this small nuclear RNA (108 nucleotides) under Sorex araneus (European shrew). The record is from RNAcentral. Lineage: Eukaryota; Metazoa; Chordata; Mammalia; Eulipotyphla; Soricidae.